ACACCCUUUGUUUCUCUCCCAACGAACUCUUUCCUUCUUCUCUCUCUUUCCCUUUCCAACCAUUAACCCUAAACCAAAACUCUAUCCAGCGGCGGCGGAGGCCUUUAACCCCCACCUAACUCAAACAAACAACCCAAACCCCAUACCAAAAAAAAAACAAACUAAGUUUGACAAGUCCCUUGCCUCUGUUCCGACUUUGCUAAUUUUCGAGUUUAUGAUCUUUGAUCGUUCCUUCUUUUUUUGA
Vicia faba (fava bean) is the source of this 244-nucleotide non-coding RNA. Lineage: Eukaryota; Viridiplantae; Streptophyta; Magnoliopsida; Fabales; Fabaceae. The record is from the annotation of a GenBank genome assembly.